AGAAUCUCUGAGCCUAUGAGAGCCUUUGUGGCCCCGCAAGGGGUACCCGCCGCGACUGUAAAGAAAGGACGCAGGUAUUAAAUCGCAAGUCAGCCUGGCUGGCCACACUUUCGAAUUGCGGGGACUCCCUAAAGCCCUCCUCUACCAACCCGCUGGAGAAAUCCGGUGGGGGCCCGUGUGAACAGCACGGGGUGCGGUAACAACGAGGACGGAUCUUGCAAUGGGUAAUCCGCAGCCAAGUCCCUAAGGCGCACGCUAUGGGAAAGGUUCACAGACUAAGUGGAAGUGGGCUGAAGCAAUGCUUCGGCUUAAGAUAUAGUCGGGCUGUUCAUGAGAAUGAAUGGAAGUCACUGUUCCGUAGGUGAACCUGCGGAAGGAUCAUUA
The sequence is a non-coding RNA, 384 nucleotides long. The stretch from base 48 to 343 matches the Rfam family "Group I catalytic intron". From Rfam's summary of the family: Group I catalytic introns are large self-splicing ribozymes. They catalyse their own excision from mRNA, tRNA and rRNA precursors in a wide range of organisms.